RNAcentral lists this transfer RNA (74 nucleotides) under Candidatus Dadabacteria bacterium. RNAcentral's name for it is "tRNA-Val". It matches the Rfam family "tRNA". From Rfam's summary of the family: Transfer RNA (tRNA) molecules are approximately 80 nucleotides in length. Lineage: Bacteria; Pseudomonadati; Thermodesulfobacteriota; Candidatus Dadabacteria. The record is from RNAcentral.
AGGCACGUAGCUCAGCUGGUUAGAGCGCUUGCUUGACAGGCAAGAGGUCAGCAGUUCGAGUCUGCUCGUGCCUA